RNAcentral lists this ribosomal RNA (482 nucleotides) under uncultured bacterium. RNAcentral describes it as "partial 16S ribosomal RNA". It matches the Rfam family "Bacterial small subunit ribosomal RNA", at positions 30 to 507 of the family's 1533-position model. The record is from RNAcentral.
AUUGAACGCUGGCGGCAUGCUUUACACAUGCAAGUCGAACGGUAACAGGUCUUCGGAUGCUGACGAGUGGCGGACGGGUGAGUAAUACAUCGGAACGUGCCUAGUAGUGGGGGAUAACUACUCGCAAGAGUAGCUAAUACCGCAUGAGAUCUACGGUUGAAAGCAGGGGACCUUCGGGCCUUGUGCUACUAUAGCGGCUGAUGGCAGAUUAGGUAGUUGGUGGGGUAAAGGCUUACCAAGCCUGCGAUCUGUAGCUGGUCUGAGAGGACGACCCGCCACACUGGGACUGAGACACGGCCCAGACUCCUACGGGAGGCAGCAGUAGGGAAUUUUGGACAAUGGGCGAAAGCCUGAUCCAGCAAUGCCGCGUGAAGGAUGAAGGCCCUCGGGUUGUAAACUGCUUUUGUACGGAACGAAAAGCCGGGGGCGAAUAUCCCCGGGUCAUGACGGUACCGAAAGAAUAAGCACCGGCUAACUACGUG